This 422-nucleotide ribosomal RNA is filed under the name uncultured bacterium. Its description in RNAcentral is "partial 16S ribosomal RNA". It matches the Rfam family "Bacterial small subunit ribosomal RNA", at positions 360 to 774 of the family's 1533-position model. The record is from RNAcentral.
AAUUUUGGACAAUGGGGGAAACCCUGAUCCAGCCAUCCCGCGUGUAUGAUGAAGGCAUUAGGGUUGUAAAGUACUUUUGGCUGUGAAGGAAAGGUAACUCCUAAUACGAGAUACUGCUGACGGUAUCUGCAGAAUAAGCACCGGCUAAUUACGUGCCAGCAGCCGCGGUAAUACGUAGGGUGCAAGCGUUAAUCGGAAUUACUGGUCGUAAAGCGUGUGUAGGGGGUUCGGAAAGAAAGAUGUGAAAUCACAGGGCUCAACCUUGGAACUGCAUUUUUAACUGCCGAGCUAGAGUAUGUUAGAGGGGGGUAGAAUUCCACGUGUAGCAGUGAAAUGCGUAGCUAUGUGGAGGAAUACCGAUGGCGAAGGCAGCCCCCUGGGAUAAUACUGACGCUCAGACACGAAAGCGUGGGGAGCAAACA